AUUGAACGCUGGCGACAUGCCUUACACAUGCAAGUCGAACGGCAGCACGGGUGCUUGCACCUGGUGGCGAGUGGCGAACGGGUGAGUAAUACAUCGGAACAUGUCCUGUAGAGGGGGAUAGCCCGGCGAAAGCCGGAUUAAUACCGCAUACGAUCUACGGAUGAAAGCGGGGGACCUUCGGGCCUCGCGCUAUAGGGUUGGCCGAUGGCUGAUUAGCUAGUUGGUGGGGUAAAGGCCUACCAAGGCGACGAUCAGUAGCUGGUCUGAGAGGACGACCAGUCACACUGGGACUGAGACACGGCCCAGACUCCUACGGGAGGCAGCAGUGGGGAAUUUUGGACAAUGGGCGAAAGCCUGAUCCAGCAAUGCCGCGUGUGUGAAGAAGGCCUUCGGGUUGUAAAGCACUUUUGUCCGGAAAGAAAUCCUUGGCCCUAAUACGGUCGGGGGAUGACGGUACCGGAAGAAUAAGCACCGGCUAACUACGUG
Molecule: ribosomal RNA, 486 nt
Filed under: uncultured bacterium
Lineage: Bacteria
Description: partial 16S ribosomal RNA
Rfam family: Bacterial small subunit ribosomal RNA
Source: RNAcentral